AAGAAAGAAUGUAAACAACAUUGCUCUUCUCCAAGCUGGGCACUUUACCCACACCUGAGCCAACCAGCCAGCAGACCUAAAUAGCCAGAUCACCUGGGUUCUGUAAGGCUCUGCUGCCCUUAACUAUGUACUCUGUCCCAGAGGAGGUGAGUGCUGAAGCAAGUGGGGCCCACGUGGUCACAGCGAACCUGUGCAUCACCGGUGAAGCUGCCUGCAGUUCUGCCCAGAGGCAGCCCGAGGUACAACUAAAACCCCUGGCCAUUAUAUACAAAGUAAACACAAGAGGCUCUGAAAGGAGAAAAAGAGGAGGCAGAUGAUGAGGGACUUCAGGAGCAGAAGGGCUGCCUGAUGGUGUUGGGCUCAGCCUGGUGACUCCCUUCUAAGGAAUGGUAUACGGCAAAAGUGAUGGGAUUCUGCUUCUGGGAUGAGGCUACAGGGAGGCUGUGCCUCUAGCCCGUGUGCCCUCUUCUGCUGUCUUACUUGCUCAUUCUGAUGAAAGCCAGAUACGUGUUGUGAGCUGCCACACAAGAAGGACACAUGGUAAGGAACCAAGGGAGACUUCAGCCCUCGGCCAACAAGGAACUGAGUCCCUCAGCUCAGCAGCCUGUGAGGAACUGAAUCUUAUCACCAACCAUGUAAGUGAACUCGAGAAAUGGAUCCUUCCUCAGUCAAGCCUUCAUGAUUCCACAGCCUUACCAAUACCUUCACUGCAGUCUUUUCAGAGAACUUAGGAACCCAGAUA
Long non-coding RNA from Budorcas taxicolor (takin), 742 nucleotides. RefSeq lists it as uncharacterized. Lineage: Eukaryota; Metazoa; Chordata; Mammalia; Artiodactyla; Bovidae. The transcript has 4 exons. The record is from RefSeq and is a predicted model, not a curated record.